This 690-nucleotide ribosomal RNA is filed under the name uncultured bacterium. Its description in RNAcentral is "bacterial SSU rRNA". It matches the Rfam family "Bacterial small subunit ribosomal RNA", at positions 32 to 715 of the family's 1533-position model. The record is from RNAcentral.
AACGCUAGCUACAGGCUUAACACAUGCAAGUCGAGGGGCAGCGCAGUGUAGCAAUACAUGGGCGGCGACCGGCGCACGGGUGCGUAACGCGUAUCCAACCUUCCCGUUACUCAGGGAUAGCCUUCCGAAAGGGAGAUUAAUACCUGAUGGUGUUCGAAUUCCGCAUGUUAUUUGAACUAAAGAUUAAUCGGUAACGGAUGGGGAUGCGUGACAUUAGAUAGUAGGCGGGGUAACGGCCCACCUAGUCUACGAUGUCUAGGGGUUCUGAGAGGAAGGUCCCCCACACUGGAACUGAGACACGGUCCAGACUCCUACGGGAGGCAGCAGUGAGGAAUAUUGGUCAAUGGUCGGAAGACUGAACCAGCCAAGUAGCGUGAAGGAUGAAGGUUCUAUGGAUUGUAAACUUCUUUUAUACGGGAAUAAAACCUCCCACGUGUGGGAGCUUGUAUGUACCGUAUGAAUAAGCAUCGGCUAACUCCGUGCCAGCAGCCGCGGUAAUACGGAGGAUGCGAGCGUUAUCCGGAUUUAUUGGGUUUAAAGGGAGCGUAGACGGGAGAUUAAGUCAGUUGUGAAAGGCUGCGGCUCAACCGCAGCACUGCAGUUGAUACUGGUUUCCUUGAGUUCGGUUGAGGUGUAUGGAAUUCGUGGUGUAGCGGUGAAAUGCUUAGAUAUCACGAAGAACUCCGAUUG